AGAACGAACGCUGGCGGCAUGCCUAAUACAUGCAAGUCGAACGAAGGCUUCGGCCUUAGUGGCGCACGGGUGCGUAACGCGUGGGAAUCUGCCCCUUGGUUCGGAAUAACAGUUGGAAACGACUGCUAAUACCGGAUGAUGACGAAAGUCCAAAGAUUUAUCGCCAAGGGAUGAGCCCGCGUAGGAUUAGCUAGUUGGUGAGGUAAAGGCUCACCAAGGCGACGAUCCUUAGCUGGUCUGAGAGGAUGAUCAGCCACACUGGGACUGAGACACGGCCCAGACUCCUACGGGAGCAGCAGUAGGGAAUAUUGGACAAUGGGCGAAAGCCUGAUCCAGCAAUGCCGCGUGAGUGAUGAAGGCCUUAGGGUUAGUAAAGCUCUUUACCCGAGAUGAUAAUGAACAGUAUACGGGAGUAAAUAACGGCCCCGGAUAAACCUCCGUGACCCAGCCAAGCCGAC
This 458-nucleotide ribosomal RNA is filed under the name uncultured soil bacterium. RNAcentral's name for it is "bacterial SSU rRNA". It matches the Rfam family "Bacterial small subunit ribosomal RNA", at positions 26 to 516 of the family's 1533-position model. The record is from RNAcentral.